GGCUGGUCCGAUGGUAGUGGGUUAUCAGAACUUAUUCACAUUAGUGUCACUAAAGUUGCUAUUCAACCCCCCACUGCUAAAUUUGACUGGCUUAAA
This 96-nucleotide Y RNA is filed under the name Microcebus murinus (gray mouse lemur). Its description in RNAcentral is "Y RNA (ENSMICG00000048085.1)". It matches the Rfam family "Y RNA". From Rfam's summary of the family: Y RNAs are components of the Ro ribonucleoprotein particle (Ro RNP), in association with Ro60 and La proteins. Lineage: Eukaryota; Metazoa; Chordata; Mammalia; Primates; Cheirogaleidae. The record is from Rfam by way of RNAcentral.